UACUAGUGAUUCAACUUGAAUUGCACUGAACACAGAACUGAUUUUACACUCCGUAUUAAUUUUCGGAUAAAACAGAACGAAUCGGUGAACCGAACGUCGCGACGACCGACAAUCAACUAACUCGUGUAACGUUUACUAGAUACUUCGGAUAUGCUGUUUCAAAAGAACACAAUGCAUACUCAGACGUAGGGCAAGGGACUGAAUACAUGAAAACAAUAACAGUGACUCUUGAACGAAGCAAAAGAAUAGCCGUAGCGAGUAUCGCAGGGCCAAAAGGUCUAGCCAAUCACCGACUUAAAGAAAGCCGUACCGUCGUCAACUAACUACGCUUGUUAGUAAACCCGAUUCGGCAUAUAACCUCAAACGGUACAGCAAAAUUCCGAAACACGAAGAGAAAAAUUGUUCUUUUAAUACUCGUCGUCACGUGUGCAAAUUUUAAUAGGCAAUAUAUUAAACCGUUUUACUCGUGCGUUAACAGAUUCAACUGACUGACAAGUUACUCACACGACUUCCAUUAGACAGGGUUCGCGCAGGGUCGAGUACACUCCUGCCAGGGUCAACUCAGUUAAAAUCAUUUGACUCAGUCAUCAUCUACUGCGUGAUAUCAAUAUACGGUUAAUCACAUUUACUUAAUGUAAUUUCAAAUCUUCAGAGGGUUCGCUUUGCGUCCGUAUGUCAGCUGAAAUUCCACACGUUCGAUCCAGACCGAUAGCACUGACAUCGAGACACUUAAAUGUCAAUUCGUAAUGUCUGGUGGAACAUUAUCAAAAUAUCGAUAUAGGCUUCAUGCCAAAGGAUGAAUAAACCCAGAUAAAACUAAUUGUACGUACUACAAAAUAGCCCGAUACUAACACAUUUAACAUGUCAUUUACUUUAACGGCCAUUUUAUAAUCUGGUUCGUCAUGACACAUGAAAAUGCCGAACAAGAGCGGAAUUACCCGAAGUAAGAUCGGAGGUAUACCCUAGGCCAUUGUCGCGCGCAUAGCAAGUACCGACACGUGUGAAAGUAUAAUGACAAAGAAAGAGAAAGGAUUGGAAAUAAAAUAGAUCUAAGCUCGUACGUGUUGUAUAGAAAUUUCAUAGGUUAGGCUUGCAUCCAAGGUUCUUCGAUAUUUCUGCCUUUUCUGCAACGGCCGGUUAAAGACCUCAUUGACUGCGCAAUAUAUUUUCUAUUCAGCUUUGACUAUAUCUAAUUGAGUGUAACGUACAGCAAGAAAUGACGUAGACGGCUGAGGUCUCCAAUAAUAUUAGAUUCUACACGCAUCAGACUGGCAACCUGAGGAUAUGUAUGCCAAGGCUCCCCACUAGUUGGACGGACAUAAAAUAUCCACCCGGUCUUCUACAGUGCCUCGAUUAAAUGAGUUCGCAUUCAUCGUGUCCUCGUUGGCCCGGCAUUUAAUUCGCUGAAAAACACGUUUAUGACUCCGUAAUAAUAAUAGGCUCAAGGAUUACAUCACGUGGGAUGACUUUUAAAAAAAAUACUCCACUCAAUCCCUAUAGAGCCAGUUUCGGCGGGAGCUGUCGCUGUCUGAUUUUUCGCCGGGGGCUCUCGAUUCCAAGAAGCCAAUGUAUUCAUUGGGUAACGCAUAAGGUUGGCCCAGUAUCCAUACACAUAUACAUAUACCAUUUACGGAACUAAAAAUGAGAACAAGAAUUGACGCCCUGAAAAUCCUGCCGACAAAAAAGUCAACAAUAGUUCGAUUCAAUUAUUAAAAAUUCGUGCAAUUUUCUAUUAAAAAGGUCCACGACCACGAAAAUCCCCCAAAAAAAACAUACUACAACGUAACACGUGACUUCCAUUACGCAUGACGCACUGUGACAGUGCCGUAAGGAAAUGCAUAUCUAUAAAAAUAAUUUGAUUGAAAAUCAAUUCAAAUAAAAUUCCCCCCGUGGGCCUAAUCGAAAGACGAUACACUCCGUGAUCAAAAUACAAACCCAUCAUAAAGAAUCCAAUGACGUACUUCCCCCUGGCCACACAUAAUUUCUAUUAUAUGCACCAACGAUCAAAACAUAUGAAAACUUUUAGAAGCAGGUGUUAAGGAACGGUAUCCAAAUUCUAAUGCAGAAUGAGCUUCCCCUGUAUAUUAGUAUGCUGCUCAAACCGGAUUGAAACUUGAGGUGAGUCGAGUCGAGUUAGCAUUGGCCUUGCCAGACGAUACGGCCUCGGCUGGAUACGAAGGAAGGCUACGUGUUCAGAUGCAACGAGCAAUCUCAAAGAGCAGAACGGAAAUGGCGACAACUCAAUCAGCCCACUCACCGUCCAGUUCGAUGGCAACACUGAUGCCCACGUUAAAUUAACCUCUGGUCACUUCCGAUACGGCAGAGGGAAAGAGACAGAGAGAGAUCUCCAAAAAUUUUCAUGCGAGCAGAAAUUAAGCACGAUUAUGAGAAGGAAGUACGCAAUUACAGAAGAUACCUAAUAGUGGAGUGAAAAUAGUAAAACUGUCGUAAUCAGCUCUAGAGUGAAACCAGCCAACAUACGUGAAGCGUGCAACCAACGUACGCAGUCUAAAAUUCUUGGAUUGUCCCAAUACAAGAACCAGGUGCACUCGAAUAUAUGUGUGUCACGUUCGAAAGGCAUUAAGAAAUCAAUUAGGUUCAAUGCGCCCGUUCGAGCAAUAACAACGAGUCUGCUUUUCGAUGAUUUUGAGAACGUUCAAUCCUUACGUCAAUAGAAAUCACGAGGAACGACGAAUCUAAGGAAUGCCUGGCACUUGGCUCUCCAGAGCAUAAAGUCAAAAUAAAGGAUCAAGAGGAAGGAAUGUUUCUGGUUUGAUUAACUGAAAAUUAAGUGACGUUAAUAUUAUGGAGGGAAACGUCGGUACUGGUUGUUGGCGUUUGAUGAUUUAGUACAGUCAUUAUAGUCAUCUUGUUAUUCAAGGUACUCAUUGCAGAUGGUAGUUAUAAAUUAUCUUUCACACUUGACCACCCGUAAUUUAACAAUUUACAGGGUGUAAGCGAAUCGCUAUUUAUUCUCAUGGUUCUUAGAAAAUGUAUGCAUUCUCGAAAAUCUUAAUUAACUCGAGAAACCAUACUGAGAAAUGAUAAUAAAAGACGUGUUCGAUAAGCCGCAAUGUUUUGCGGGUAAAAUGAUAUUUUACAUACGUAAGAUGAAGGAGUCGAGAGGAAUUUGCAGGAUUUAAAAAGUAGCCAAAAAUAGUUUCAAGAAUCUCCAUGAUUUGGGCAUCGACUUAUGUGGAUUUCUUAUCUCUGUCAUUUCAUCCAGAUAAUUUGACACGUCACCGUGACGUUUUUACAGUGACGCUUCAAGCGUUCAUUUUAUCAUGACUGUCCGUCUAGUUGGGUGUUAAAUGAAAAUCAUCAUUGUCUCUAUACCAGCAUCAAUUAUCAUCUGACAAUGCAGCAUUCCUCUCUAACGAGAUUAACUCACGUUACGCUGCUAGCGUGCAUAAUAUCUUCAUAUAUAUUUUUUCAGCAUUCGCAUCGCUCGAGAUAAUGAAAAGCUGAUGUUAGUGGUGCAAGAGUUUUAGAUUUAUUGGACACGGCAAUUGUGACCGCAAGCAGCUUAUUCUAAUAGCAAGUAAUAGGCCGAUUUGUAGCGUCUGGUACAAUAAUUACUAUUACGAUUAAUCGCUCAGAGACAGCUGCAAUGAUAGGUCUCGUGAUGCCAAUAAAUACGUGUGUCGCUACUACACAGAAAUAUAUCGAGGUCGUUCUAGUACGAUCCACAGAAUUCAGGGCAAUGAUUUUAUUUAAAAAAAAAAAACAUUGCGAUCCUGCCCAGAAUACAAAAAACAUUCGCGAAAGAAUUAACUGCGGAAUUAUUCAAAAAUCCUUUCACUUAUCAUUAUCCUUAAUUUAAUGAAGGUACAGUGCCUUGAAAUAAUAAGUAAAUGCAUAAACGUACAACAGAAAAAAUUUCACGUUAAAUAAAACACCCUUAUCCCAUUCAUCAUUCAGUAAUUAUAUAAAAUGCGAUAUAUGUAAAAUCUCCAAUAAUAUAAAUAUAAAUAUAUAUAUAUAUAUAUCCCUACAGCGAACGUGGUACUAACUUCCUAUAAUUAAAAGUAAGGACAGUGCACCCGCCAAAGUUUUCCUUAGAGUGAUAAAAUUAUAUUUUCGUCCUUGUCCUACGUAUUGUAGGUCAUUGGCGAGAACGUCAUUCUGCGCGCGACCGCGAAAAGAAUUGGCAUAACCUCUGAAU
This is an RNA transcript of Cephus cinctus (wheat stem sawfly), 4165 nucleotides long. RefSeq lists it as uncharacterized. The transcript has 3 exons. The record is from RefSeq and is a predicted model, not a curated record. NCBI's taxonomy places the organism in Eukaryota, Metazoa, Arthropoda, Insecta, Hymenoptera, Cephidae.